This 220-nucleotide ribosomal RNA is filed under the name Clavulina sp. RNAcentral's name for it is "partial large subunit ribosomal RNA". The record is from RNAcentral. Lineage: Eukaryota; Fungi; Basidiomycota; Agaricomycetes; Cantharellales; Hydnaceae.
AAACGCUUGAAGUCAGUCGCGUUUGCUUGGACUCAGCCUUACUUCGGUUCGGUGCAUUUCCUUGCGGACGGGCCAGCGUCCAUGCUGUUUGCCGGAAAAGGGGGAAGAGAAUGUGGCUCCUUUGGGAGUGUUAUAGCUCUUGCUCGUAUACGGGGAGCGAUAUGGAGUGGUACAGCACGCUUUCGGGUGGUGCUUGUGCUGGCAUAAUGGCUUUAAACGA